AGAGUUUGAUCCUGGCUCAGGAUUAACGUUGGCGGUACGUCUAAUACAUGCAAGUCGAGCGGAGUACUUUGGUACUCAGCGGCGAACGGGUGAGUAACACGUAGGUAACCUGCCUUUAAGACGAGGAUAACAGUUGGAAACGACUGCUAAUACUGGAUUGGAAGCGAGGAAGGCAUCUUCCUAGCUUGAAAGGUCCUUUACGGGACUACUUAAAGAGGGGCCUGCGGCGCAUUAGUUAGUUGGUAAGGUAAGGGCUUACCAAGACAAUGAUGCGUAGCUGGACUGAGAGGUUGAACAGCCACACUGGGACUGAGAACGGCCCAGACUCCUACGGGAGGCAGCAGUAGAGAAUCUUCGGCAAUGGGGGGAACCCUGACCGAGUGAUACCGCGUGAAUGAAGAAAUACUUCGGUAUGUAAAGUUCUUUUAUAGAGGAUGAAUGAUGCGUGUAGGAAAUGACACGUAAGUGACAGUACUUUAGGAAUAAGCCCCGGCUAACUAUGUGCCAGCAGCCGCGGUAAUACAUAGGGGGCAAGCGUUAUCCGGAUUUAUUGGGCGUAAAGGGUGCGUAGGCGGCCGUUUAAGUUUGAGGUGUAAGUUCAAGGCUCAACCUUGUGAUGCUUCAAAAACUGGAUGGCUUGAGAGAGGUAGAGGCAAGUGGAAUUCCAUGUGUAGCGGUAAAAUGCGUAAAUAUAUGGAGGAACACCAGUGGCGAAGGCGGCUUGCUGGGCCUUAUCUGACGCUGAGGCACGAAAGCGUGGGGAGCAAACGGGAUUAGAUACCCUGGUAGUCCACGCCGUAAACAAUGAAUACUAAGUGUCGGGGAAACCCGGGGCCGCAGUUAACCCAUUAAAUACUCGCCCUGAAUAGAACGUGCGCCAAGAAAAAAACUCAAAGGAAUUGGGCGGGACCUCGCGCAAGCGGGGGAUCAUGUGGUGUAAUAUAGAGGAUACGCGAAGAACCUUACCAGGCCUUGACAUACCGAGCGAUGCUAUGGAGACAUAGCGGAGGUUAUUCUGGGAUACAGGUGGUGCAUGGUUGUCGUCAGCUCGUGUCGUGAGAUGUUGGGUUAAGUCCCGCGACGAGCGCAACUCUUAUCGCUAAUUGCCAUCAUUAAGUUGGGGACUUUAGCGAGACUGCCAGUGACAAACUGGAGGAAGGUGAGAAUGACGUCAAAUCAUCAUGCCCCUUAUGGCCUGGGCUACAAACGUGAUACAAUGGUUGGUACAAAGGGAGGCAACGCCGUGAGGCCAAGCGAACCCCAUAAAACCAAUCUCAGUUCGGAUUGAAGUCUGCAACUCGACUUCAUGAAGUCGGAAUCGCUAGUAAUCGUAGAUCAGAACGCUACGGUGAAUACGUUCUCGAGGUUUGCACUCACCGCCCGUCA
Molecule: ribosomal RNA, 1386 nt
Filed under: uncultured bacterium
Lineage: Bacteria
Description: 16S ribosomal RNA
Rfam family: Bacterial small subunit ribosomal RNA
Source: RNAcentral